RNAcentral lists this ribosomal RNA (253 nucleotides) under uncultured bacterium. RNAcentral's name for it is "partial 16S ribosomal RNA". It matches the Rfam family "Bacterial small subunit ribosomal RNA", at positions 524 to 776 of the family's 1533-position model. The record is from RNAcentral.
GACAGAGGAUGCAAGCGUUAUCCGGAAUUACUGGGCGUAAAGGGCUCGUAGGUGGCCAACUAAGUCAGACGUGAAAUCCCUCGGCUUAACCGGGGAACUGCGUCUGAUACUGGAUGGCUUGAGUUUGGGAGAGGGAUGCGGAAUUCCAGGUGUAGCGGUGAAAUGCGUAGAUAUCUGGAGGAACACCGGUGGCGAAGGCGGCAUCCUGGACCAAUACUGACGCUGAGGCGCGAAAGCGUGGGUAGCAAACAGG